CCUACGGGUGGCAGCAGUGAGGAAUAUUGGUCAAUGGCCGUAAGGCUGAACCAGCCAAGUCGCGUGAAGGAAGAAGGAUCUAUGGUUUGUAAGCUUCUUUUAUAGGGGAAUAAAGGUAUCCACGUGUGGAUAUUUGCAUGUACCCUAUGAAUAAGCAUCGGCUAACUACGUGCCAGCAGCCGCGGUAAUACGGAGGAUGCGAGCGUUAUCCGGAUUUAUUGGGUUUAAAGGGUGCGUAGGUUGUUUAUUAAGUCAGCGGUGAAAGUUUGUGGCUCAACCAUAAAAGUGCCGUUGAGACUGGAAGACUUGAGUGUGGUUGAGGUAAGCGGAAUGCGUGGUGGAGCGGGGAAAUGCAGAGAUAUCACGAAGAACCCCGAUUGCGAAGGCAGCUUA
This 393-nucleotide ribosomal RNA is filed under the name uncultured bacterium. Its description in RNAcentral is "partial 16S ribosomal RNA". It matches the Rfam family "Bacterial small subunit ribosomal RNA", at positions 338 to 728 of the family's 1533-position model. The record is from RNAcentral.